RNAcentral lists this ribosomal RNA (292 nucleotides) under uncultured bacterium. RNAcentral describes it as "partial 16S ribosomal RNA". It matches the Rfam family "Bacterial small subunit ribosomal RNA", at positions 505 to 796 of the family's 1533-position model. The record is from RNAcentral.
GUGUCAGCAGCCGCGGUAAAACGUAGGAGGCGAGCGUUAUCCGGAUUUACUGGGUGUAAAGCGCGUGCAGGCGGACGGGUAAGUUGGGUGUGAAAGCUCCCGGCUCAACUGGGAGAGGUCGCUCAAGACUGCCGGUCUGGAGCGUGGUAGGGGAAGGCGGAAUUCCGGGUGUAGUGGUGAAAUGCGUAGAUAUCCGGAGGAACACCAGUGGCGAAAGCGGCCUUCUGGACCACGACUGACGCUCAGACGCGAAAGCUAGGGGAGCAAACGGGAUUAGAAACCCCCGUAGUCC